GUCGUCUUGACUGUUUGUGUAUUGUGUUUGUGUAUUCCUGUUCCGGAUUCUGAACAAUUUAAUUUUUAUUUCGGUUUUGUGCUUUAUAUACAUUGUAUGGAAAAUUGCUUGAUGGCAGUAUUGUAUAAAAAAACAAAAGAAAGUAACGAGGAAGAUCGAGAACAGAAGUGUUUAAGUAGUGUACAUAGUGUGAAGGACUCUUCUCCGAAUAAAGGUAAUUUUCUUAGUCUUUCUUAAGAGAAUUAGCAAUAUUAACUCAGUUUUCAAUUACAGCGAGCCACAAUUGCUAGUUGCAGCUGUCAUGUUAGUAGAACUCAGCAUAACAUGCCAGACCAUGUCAUUAAAUGGGUGUGUAAAUGAUCAAUAGCUUGUGAAAUGGGCAUGUCCAGUUACGGCAUGACACGGCCAGCGAAAUGGGCCACCAAGGAACCAUUCUCAGAUUCAUGAUGUUUUGGAGAGGAAUUGACUUGCAUCACUGGAUUACCUCAAAGAUGAAUGGAUGAAAUUACCGAUGACAUUCACACAGUCUGCCUUAUCAUUAAAAGUUAGUUAAUAAUCUAUUGUUUUAUUAUAGGAGAAAUGAAAAGUAGGCAGAGCUUCUCUGUCGUUGGAAACCGGAUAUAACUAUUCUCGGAAGAAGAUACGGUGCCGGAAACCCAGACGGAUCACUGCGAAACGCGACCCACGUUUGAAGAGGCCAAAGAUUUGCUCUCCUAUAGAAAGACAGAUAGCGCCAGAAAUUUAGGGGGGAACUGGCUAGCCUACUGGAAAACGAAGCUGGAAGAACCGAACGCGAUACCCGAUUGAAUUUCAAUAAGCAGAUUCGACCGCUGAAGUUAAAUGGCAACUCGUAGGGAAUUCUCAGUAUUCACCUAAUCUCUAUCGAAGCCUUUUGCUCUAACGAAAGGUUGCCACCGGCGGGACGUUGGAACAUGAUUCCGCUUUCAGCGCUAAAAUGAAACUAAAUACAUAAACGUUCUGUUUCCAAUAA
Molecule: long non-coding RNA, 991 nt
Organism: Daphnia pulex (common water flea)
Lineage: Eukaryota; Metazoa; Arthropoda; Branchiopoda; Diplostraca; Daphniidae
Exons: 3
Source: RefSeq, a predicted model, not a curated record